CCUUGAUGAAAAUUAGCCAGACUGCUUUUCUCUUUACAUGUAGCUAGCUCUGCUUCUACGAUUCUAUAAUUUCACAGCCUAGUCUGACUACUUGUCAUUCUCUUUUAUUAUUGCAGGGUAUGAGUGAUAUUCAAAGACAUGAAAGGAAGCAGAAAGUUUCAUUUGAAAGUAAGGAUAAGGUAGGACUAAUUCAAGUAGAAUGCAGCCCCAAAGCUUCUUUCUUAUCCGAGAAUCUAGGCUCUGGCUAAGAACUGACAUCUGAGUAUAAAUUAAAUUUCAAAGCAAAAAGUACCCUGCAAUUUUACAGCACUCGCCUCCACCCCCGUGAGUGGAAAUAGAUGCGGCAGACGUUAUCCAAUUGGCAGUAAGUCUGCGUUCGCAGACAGGUUAAAUCAUCUGCUCACAGCCACGGAGAGGAGAACUCCAAGCCCUCCCUCGGUGCUGCCUCUGUUGAGCGCCGCUGUGUGUGGCAGGAUCACGACGGGCAGGACCGCAGCCAAGUGCGGAGGCCCUGACUGCAGUGUGAAAACGCGAGGGGGCUGCGGGCGCUGAGAACCAAAGGCUGAAAAAGGAAGAAGAGUUUUCCUUUUCCUCUUCCUAAUCAAAGUUUAAUAAAAAUCAAGUUUUCCUUUUCCUAAUCAAAGAAUCA
Molecule: long non-coding RNA, 649 nt
Filed under: Chinchilla lanigera (long-tailed chinchilla)
Lineage: Eukaryota; Metazoa; Chordata; Mammalia; Rodentia; Chinchillidae
Description: lncRNA (ENSCLAG00000025959.1)
Source: RNAcentral